AGGACGAACGCUGGCGGCGUGCUUAACACAUGCAAGUCGAGCGGAAAGGCCUUUCGGGGUACUCGAGCGGCGAACGGGUGAGUAACACGUGAGUAACCUGCCCCCUACUUUGGGAUAACCCUCGGAAACGGGGGCUAAUACCGGAUAUGACUUGGCCCGGCAUCGGGUUUGGUGGAAAGUUUUUCGGUGGGGGAUGGGCUCGCGGCCUAUCAGCUUGUUGGUGGGGUAAUGGCCUACCAAGGCGACGACGGGUAGCCGGCCUGAGAGGGCGACCGGCCACACUGGGACUGAGACACGGCCCAGACUCCUACGGGAGGCAGCAGUGGGGAAUCUUGCGCAAUGGGCGAAAGCCUGACGCAGCCAUGCCGCGUGGAUGAUGAAGGUCUUAGGAUUGUAAAAUCCUUUCAGCGGGGACGAUAAUGACGGUACCCGCAGAAGAAGCCCCGGCUAACUUCGCGCCAGCAGCCGC
RNAcentral lists this ribosomal RNA (469 nucleotides) under uncultured bacterium. RNAcentral describes it as "SSU rRNA". It matches the Rfam family "Bacterial small subunit ribosomal RNA", at positions 26 to 518 of the family's 1533-position model. The record is from RNAcentral.